RNAcentral lists this transfer RNA (73 nucleotides) under Microcaldota archaeon. RNAcentral describes it as "tRNA-Gly". It matches the Rfam family "tRNA". Rfam says of the family: Transfer RNA (tRNA) molecules are approximately 80 nucleotides in length. Their secondary structure includes four short double-helical elements and three loops (D, anti-codon, and T loops). The record is from RNAcentral. RNAcentral also lists the same sequence under 1 other name. Lineage: Archaea; Nanobdellati; Microcaldota.
GCGAGUAUAGUCUAGCCUGGUAGGACGCUGCCUUGCCAAGGCAGCAACCCGGGUUCAAAUCCCGGUGCUCGCA